Long non-coding RNA from Monodelphis domestica (gray short-tailed opossum), 5156 nucleotides. RefSeq lists it as uncharacterized. Lineage: Eukaryota; Metazoa; Chordata; Mammalia; Didelphimorphia; Didelphidae. The record is from RefSeq and is a predicted model, not a curated record.
CGCGGCCGACUAGGGUGAACUAGCAGGAGUCCAGGGCUGGGAGAGUGGAAUCCCUGGGAAGUGAAGCCACUUUACGGAAGUUGGGGGGCGCCCACUCUCCCCUCUCAGUGCUCUUCAGUGCAUCCCGGUCUAAUCUCAACCCCCAGAUCCAGGAGCCAGGAUUGCACAUUUCUUCGCCCCAAGGGGACCACGGGACCCAAGCCAGGGUUUAGGAGUAGGGGUAGAACCAUAAUAAAUAAUGACAUCGGGGCGGUUUGGUGGCACCCACAGCACCAGGCCUGGGAGUUGGGAGGACCUGAGUUCAAAUUCGACCUCAGCUCCUUCCUGGUUGUGUGAUCCUGGGCAAGUCCCUUAACCCCAUUGCCUAAUCCUUACAUUCUAAGACAGAAAGUAAGGGUUCUAGAAAAAAAAAACAACAAAUAAUGAAAUUGUUACUGCAAAGUUUACAAAGUGCUUUCUGUCAGUUAUUUAAUUUCCUUCAAGGUUCAGCUCCAAGAGCACCUAUUUCCAAAACCCAUCACCCCCCACGCCCCCAGGGGCUGCCAGUACCCUUCCUCUAAAAUCACCUGCUACCUAUUGAGAUAGCACCAGGGCCUCAGUUUCUUCCUCUGUGAAAUGAGGGAGUUGGUCCUAGUCACCCUGAUCAGGCUGAGUCCAUCCCACACAGAUAGUAGACUGUAUGCUUCUUGGGAACAGGAAUUUUUUCACUUUUGCUUAAGUUGAGUGAGGGGGAAAAAAAGAAUUCUGUGAUGUGAUCCAUUAUUCCAAUGGGUGCAGCAUAUUUUGAUGGUCUGGCAAAUAUUUAACACCCUGGGCUGGGAGUAUGAAUAUGGGCUGGGGAGUGAAUGCAGAACAUAUUUUAAAGCCUAAUCUGUAACACUUUGCUAAAUUCUGAGACAAUGUUUACACUGAAAAUUUAAUAGAUUCUUUAAAGCCAAUUUGAGCUGUCUUCAGCCCUGGUUGGAACCACUGGCCAUAUUUUACAUUAUUAUAACUUCAAGUAGUGGGAAUUUGAAUAGACUGAGCUAAUGUGCAACCAAAUUGCAGGCAUUUAGUAAGUAAGUACCUACCCGUACCAGAUAUCCCUUUAUCCAAAGAAUGCAAGAAAAGACAAAACAAAAACCCUUGAUGCCUGCCCUCUAAUCUAACCUAAUGGGGAAGAUAAACUGGCUAUAUAAAGAAUGGGUUAGGUUACUCAAUAGAGAGAGAAUCAGACCUGGAGGUGGGAGGUUCCAGGUUCAAAUAUAGCCUGAGAUACUUUCUAACUGUGUGACCCUGGGCAAGUCACUUAACCCCAACUGCUUAGCCCUUAUUGCUCUUCUGCCUUGGAAUCAAUUCUUAGUAUACUUCCCAAGACAAAAAGUUAAAAAAAAAAAUAAAGCAGAUGGAAGGUAGUCUUAGAGAAAAUGCAGUGGGGUUCUAGGGGACAGGCGACAGCUUCCUGUAGAAGGUGAGAUUCGGCACAUAGUAGGCACUUCAUAAAUCUGGCUUGAUUAAUCUUAUUUGAUGUUCCCAACAACUUUGUGGAAAUGUUUUUAUGCUAUUUUGCAGAUGAGACAAAUAAAGUUCAGAGAAGUUUUAAUGACUUGUUCAAAGUCACAUGUUUGACUAGUGCUGAGCUGGGAUUCAAAUGCAAGUUUCCCUGACUCCAGUCAUCAUUUAAUAAAUGACUGCUAUUGGCUAAGUGCUAGGGAUGUGAAUCAUAGGAUCAUAGAUUUAGAAUCUAAGGGCUACCAUUUCUGGUCCCUCCUCAUUUUACAAAUGGGUAAACUGAGGCCAGGGAUGAUAAAUCUAGUAUAGAUGAGAGGUGGAAUUUGGAAUCUGAUCUUCUGACUCCAAGGCUGUUACAAAUAUGUAUAGCCAAGUAAAAAAAAAAUUCCUCAUUAGUUGUUUCCAAAACAAAUAUAUAUGUAUGUAUAUAUAAAAGCUUCAAUCUUCACGGAGUCUAUCACUUCUCUAUCUGUAGGGUCUUCUUCAAAAACAAAGGAUAAAUAACAACAAUAUCUGUGGGAGAUAGCUUUCAAUAAGGAUGUAUUAAGUACCCAUGAUGCACCAGGCACUGUGCUAAGUUCUGGGAUCAGUAAGAAAGGCAAAAAUCAUAGUUGACCUCUUCAGAACAUGACUUUCUACACACUGUCAUACAAUGUUUUUACUAUUUGAAGCCUGAGACAUUCCAUUUCCAGACUCUGUGACUUUGUCAGGCAGGUCCCCCUGUCUGAGAUGUUACUCCUUUGCGCCUGCCUUUUAGGAUCCCUAUUUUCUUAAAAGUUCAGCCCAAGUGCCACUUUCCACAGGAAGCUUCUGUUGAUCCUCUGGUUCCAUGGUGGCAAACCUAUGGCACUUGUGCCAGAGGGGGCACUGAAAGCCCUCUCUGUAGGCACACACACCAUUGCCUUUGCCCAGCACAGAGUUCACCAAAGUCCAUUACUAGAAAGCCAGAGGGACAUGGGGCCAGGUUGCUCUCUGCCCAGCAGCCCAAUGGGAACACUUUUUCCCUCCCCUGUCUUGGGUAAGGUGACAGGCUCAUAAGCUAUGUGAGGGUUGCAGUUUGGGCUUUUGGUUUCUAAAAAGGUUCACCAUCACUGCCCUAGUUGUUAGAUUCAUACUCCCCAGAAAUUAUUUCACAUAUGUUUUAUGUUUAAUUUUCUAUGUAUAUAUUUCCUUACAAGAAAACACAAAGUCCUUGAGGGCAGAGAUCAUUUCAUUUCUGUCUGUGUCCUUGAUGACAUAAGUGCUUAAUGAGUUCUGGUUGAACUGGUAGGGUGGUUAGUUGGUUGUUGUCUUUAAAUUUGAAGAGGACCAAAAUGGCAUUCCUGGCUGAUGCCUUUGGACUUGAGCAUGAAUUGGCUUUAAGUGAUGCAGAGUUGUACAAAGUCACCAGCCUUGUUCUCUCUUCCAGAGUCAUGGAAAUCCAGUGGCAAGACAAAAGUCAUGAAGACUGGUGAUAGCAGUGGAUGAGCGUGGCUUCUUCUGGGUCUGUCCAAGCUCUAAGCUCCUGCCUCAGCAACUUUCAUGACUGUUGGAACAAAAUGUUCUCAUCUGUCCCUUCCUAUGGAGAGAGGGUGUCUUCACGUGCCUGGGGUAGACACCCCUCUAACUCACUGAUGGGUUGGGGGCUCAUCAGUUAUCCUCAAGCUGGUUUAGCCCCUCUACACUGAGGUGGUUUUACUAGGGUGUGACCCCUGUGUAUCCUACAGCUUCUUGGAGCCACAGGUGAAAGCUGGGUGGCAGGUGGACACCAGAGAAGGAUGAGCAGCCCUGAUAAGGGCUCAGUAAGGCCUCCCAUCCUGUACUCUGUAUCCCCUUAUUGAUUAGAGUGGAGCCUUGAAGGAACCUUGGGAGUCUGUGAGGCAGCAGUGAGGAUGUAGUGUGUUCCAGCCAGGAGAGACAACCUCAGAAAAGGCUAGGAGAAGGGAGAGGGGAAUAUUAUGUAGGGGGAACGUGUUCAUCAUUUUCCAUCAGUGCUGUAUUCCAGCCUUUUUCAGUUGUGCUCUAUAUGUGACAGUCCCUGUGGCAAAUAGAGAAGACUGUAUUUUGUCCUAGAGGGAGCUGUUGGAGUUUCUUGAGGGAGUUGGAACUCCUUUCUUAGGACAAACAAUUAGGUAGCUAUGCCAAGGAAGGAUUAGGGAAGGGGCAAGACUAAGGGUAGAGAAGCUAUGGAACUCUAGAUCUGUCAUUUUGUCAGACAAUAACACUUACUAUGUGCCAGGAACCAUAUGAAGUGCUGAGGAUGCAAAGAGAGGUAAAAGCCAGUCUUUGCCCUCAAGGAGCUCAUGGUUUCAUGCCUAUGUGGCUUUGGGUGAGUCCCUUAACUUCUUUGGGCCUCAGUUUCCUCAUCUGUAAAAUGAGGAAAUCAUAUUGUAAUAUGACCCCAGAGGUUCCUAAAGUCUAUGAUUCUAUUAACUAUGACUGUAAGUUGAGUCUUUUAGCUCCCACUGGAUUUGGAAAUAGACCUGGCUCAGCCAUUUACUUCCUGGGUGCUCUCAGGGAAGAUACCACCUCUCUCUGGACCUUACUUCCCUCUUAUAUAAAACGAGAUGAACUCGAAGACCCCCGUCAAGUCCUAAUUGCAAGGGCCACCUCCCUGGAUCCUGCCACAGAAAGAAAGGACAAACAGCCGCACCCUUCUUACAUCGUACUAGGGGCAACCUUACCACAUCAUUUCUAAGUCCUUGACCAUCAUCAUUAGCGCCAUCACCAACUCAGCUGUUUGGAGCAAGUUUUCCUGGAAGGGGCAGAGGAGUGUGUGCCUCCAUGUGUCCAAUUUCCCAAGAGAAUGCUCAUGUUUGCUGCCCUUUUCAGUGGGUGACAUUUCAUGCAGAGUGUUUACAAGUGAACAUUUUGUUUGUUUAUGACAGGAUAGAAAUGUCAGGACAGUCGAAUCAGGGAGCCAGAUUUGGGGCACGGACCCAGGAAGAGCCACCACAGACGAGAAAUUCUGUAAGUCUGCAGCUAUCCUUCUCUUCACAAAGACUUUUCAACAUUCUUCCUCAAAGUGAUUUCUAGAAUUAUACAGGAUUCUCCAGAUGUGGUCUUUCUCAGGACAGAAUAUGAUUCCAAAGGAGGGGAAGUCCCUAGUUUGUUUGCCAAAGCCGGUCGACUGGUUGCAGAGCUCCUGCCUACUUCCUUAUAGCAACCUGUCUGCCAGGCAAUCUACAUCUGCGAGACUGGAAAGAGUUUGUCUCGUCCCAUCUAAUUUUCCUUGUGGAUUGAGGGAGGCUCUCCAGCUGAACAAGCGUCAUGAGGUUCUGGGCAUCCUUUGUCAUCUUGGCUCUUCUCGCUCUCUGCUCAGACAGCGCUACUCCAAAUAAUGACAUCUGCAGGCUUCCUAAAGAUGAGGGGUUCUGCCGAGCUCUUGUCUCUAGGUGGUACUAUGAUUAUAUGGCCAGAUCAUGCCAACAUUUUUUCUAUGGAGGCUGUGGAGGUAACAGAAACAACUUUGAAACCAAAAAUGAAUGCAUGAAAAACUGCAGGAGAACUGGUUAAGGAGAAGAAAUUGUGGUCAUCCAAUUCUCCUACUUCCCUGGGAUAAUUCUGAGCAAUGGUUCCCCCAGCCUGCAGUUCUUACUGGGCACUGUUUCCUCCCUAUUUCUGAUCACUCUUUUGGGGUGCCCUCUGUUUAAAAGUUUCCUGGAAUAAAGUGAUUUAUUCCCUAA